This 254-nucleotide ribosomal RNA is filed under the name uncultured bacterium. RNAcentral describes it as "partial 16S ribosomal RNA". It matches the Rfam family "Bacterial small subunit ribosomal RNA", at positions 524 to 776 of the family's 1533-position model. The record is from RNAcentral.
UACGUAGGGGCCUAGCGUUGUCCGGAAUUAUUGGGCGUAAAGAGCUCGUAGGUGGUUGGGUAAGUCGGGUGUGAAAACUCCAGGCUCAACUUGGAGAUGCCACCCGAUACUGCUCUGACUUGAGUUCGGUAGGGGAGUGGGGAAUUCCUGGUGUAGCGGUGAAAUGCGCAGAUAUCAGGAGGAACACCGGUGGCGAAGGCGCCACUCUGGGCCGAAACUGACGCUGAGGAGCGAAAGCGUGGGUAGCAAACAGG